GACUCACUCAUACUUUAUCCCCAGCACACUGCUCCAAACACAGAUAUCCCAUUACAUACAGUCCCCUGGAGAUUUGUAUUUUUGACUUUAUAAUUGCUCAGCAAACACUUAUUUAAUGGGGGAAAAGUGCUAUGUUAGGUGUGCAGGGCAUGGUUUCCUUCUUAUUUGCUUAUGCUCUAGGAAGAACAACACACAAAGGCCUGUGACAUGUGAACAAACUGUGAGAUAGGAAAAAAAAUCAAAAUAUUUUCAGGAGAAAUUUGUGAGGCUCAACAUGUUCAGUGAGGAUUUAGAAUCAUGAAAACUUUCACUGUGGUUAAAGGAAUAGUGAGUGGCAACGUGGAAGUGGGUGGGACAUAUUUUGGGUUGGGGAUAGGGUAGCCUUUCUAGACCUCUGAAAUUACCCUUAUAAUUUGUCUGAGAUUAAAAAGUUUUUGUAUUAUUUCUUACCCUUUUCAAAAAAUUGCAUAAGGUGGCAAGAAAGGAUGCUGGUGUCCCUAGGCUUCUGGAAGGCAUGUUCUCAGCUGCUGAUGCAAACAUCGGGGUGUCAAUGUGUCCAUCAGGAGACACCUGGUACAGUGGGAAGAACAAAGAACCUGGAGACUAAAGCACCCAGACUUACAUCCCAGCUGAAGGUGUGUGGCCACAUUAUUCCAUGUCUCUGAACUUCGCUUUCCUCCAGGGAUGUCUUACAGAUUUAAAGAGAAGAGAAUCUAUUACAAGUCAAAUAUCAAUCCCUGAAUCUAAAAUUUAGGACUGCACUUUAUGGAAAUUGAGCCUGUAUUGUUCUUCUCAACACCAGCCAAGAAUCUCCACACUGCAGAACAACCCAGGGGCUGAUCUGGCUUGCAAGAAUUCUUCCUCCUUAGAUGCCUGAGUUCUCCUCCAGAGUUUGGCAAAAUCAGACAUGAGCCUAUAGAGACAUGUUGAAUGGCAAGCACAAGGGCCAGAGGAGGAUCUGGAUUACCCUCUGAAGGCAGAUGGCCUCUCAGGUGAGGAAGAGCCCAGCUCUGUCUCAGUCCCUGCUGAGACUUUGCCUCUCCAGCCUCGAUGCUAAUGGUUUAGCAGCAGAUGGGCAGGGGGAGCUCCACAAACUUCAUCACUGCUGUGUGCAUUUGGCACAGGGUGAGGGCUGAAAUAGCACAUCCUCUGUAACUCCCUGGCUCGGCAGUUUUUUGUUUUUGUGAUUAAUGUCCAGUGCAAAGGUGAGUAAUGUGGCAAUUCAUUGUAGUAAUUCGAGUUAUGGGGAAUAUAUGGACUCCUUUGCUCAGCAUCCUUUUCUCCAGCUCCUUGUCACAUAAAAAGAAUCAUUACAUUGGGAAUACACUGCCAUCAGCCACAGGACCAAGCAGAGAUACAACUCACGUGCCCCAACUAUCUCUGCUGUCAGCUUUUCGAGCCCUUCUUUGUAGGACUGGACCAGGCUAACCUGACUCAAAGGGUAGUAAAGCAAGUUCUCAGUGCCUUCUCUUUGGCCCUACCUGUUUUGAGUACUACCUAAAAAUGACUGGUUGAAUCUAAAUGACCCACAACCUCUAGUAAAUUAAUUUCAAUUUUGUCUUAUAUUAUUAUCACCCCAAGGUAACUUUUGAGCUGGAGAAGUUUGGGAGCGGGGUGAGGGGGAGAAGCCUGGCUGGCUGUGGUAGGAGGACCUCCUGCUCCAGUAAGUCCAGGAGAGCAUGGCUGUUGUCAUCUGGCAGGGAUGGAAGUGCAGAUGAGCAGAGGAAAUGCAGAUAAGAGCCUUGGUCCCAGCUUCCAGAUUCAAGGGAAGUGAUAAGAUGCUCGCAGGGCUGAGGAACCCUAAGUCCACCAGCCUUGGGAGCAAGUGAUUGCACACACCUUAAAGUUUCCAUAGGUCUACAGGAAAGGAAGAGAAUUCCAUGGCUUUCCAUCUCUUGCUCUAGUCUCUGAGACUCCAGUGAUGUCGUGCAGUCCAGUCAUCUUAACUGGAAAGUAUUUCUGAAUUCAUUAGCUGGUGGGGUCUGAGACCUUGGGGUCUUCUUUCAGUAAUCCAAGGUAGACAUGUUGAAGUUAGAAGGAUAAAAGAGCACUUGGAGGGGAUUGAGCAGUAUUAUAGUCUUUCCAGAAGACACUCCCUUCCAAUGGAGAAGGGGUAUGAAGGUAAGGAAAGAGAGGAACUAGCUCAGCCCCUAUUGGUUACUUGCAUUUGGCAGGUAAGUCCCUACUGAUGCUCUGUGGGGAUGUGUAUGCCUCCACGUGUGUGCAUGUGAGAGUGGAGAGGAGGGGGACAUGCCUCUCUGACCCAUGGCACCUGGUCCCACUGGGAUUUCCUGCCACAUCUGGGUGUCUGCCACUCAGGUCUAGUCACCAAACCUGGAUGGGAAGGUUUGAGCAGAGGUGAGAAAGGCAGUCAUCCCCUCACUCUCUCCAUCAUCCCCUCUCACGGUGCUCAUGCUAGCGGCUGCCUGUGCAAAUGGAUCCGCUGCACUGGAUCUUAAGCCCAUGUCAUUAUUCCCAGAGAUGUAUGAACAACAUUACCCAGCUGCCAGCAAUGACAGCACGUGUUACCUUUAAAAAGCCCUUCUUCAAUCUUACAAUACCCAAAUUUCGAAAGAAACUUUGUGUGCAAUCUCUCUUCUGUGCUGCUGCACUGCACCCCUAGCCACAUCGAGACUCUCUCUCUCUCCAGUGUGUGUCUGAUUGAAAAUUCAAUUCAACUCACUUCAAAUAUGCAUCGAGCACCUUUAUGUUGGCAGCAAAGAGGUAAAAGCCAUAGGGGAUACAAAAUAAGUAUAAAGCACAGUUUCUGCCUUCAAAAAGUCUGCCGUGCUAUUGGGAACAACAUGGAGAAACAACAGGAGACCAACAUGAGACAGAAUAUAUCUACUCAUCAGAAUGUGUUGUUCUGACAUUAAGUGCAUUGGAUAUUCCAGAAAAGGAGAUCUCAGUGAGGGCCAGAGUUGUCAGGGCAGAAAGCGUCUUGGAGAGGUCAGGAGCUGGUUUGGGACUUUGAAGGAUUGGGAGGAGUCAAAUAUGUAGCUGGAUCACAUACAAAAUUUUUCCUGUUAUUUCAGGUUUUCUACUGAAGCCUCAAAGCUGAAAACAACAUGACCUGAUUACUCCCACCACCUUUUUUUAAAAUGUUUAUUUUAGAGAGAGAGAGACAGACACAGACAGAGAGACAGAGAGACAGAGAGAGAGAGAGGGAGACACAGAAUCCGAAGCAGGUUCUAGGCUCUGAGGUGUCAGCACAGAGCCCAACAACUCCCAGUCUUAAGUGCUCACCAAAGAGUUGUCAUAUGGAGUUGCCCUCAUGUAGCUCUCACAUAGCCCCGGUGUGGGACACCUGUCCCAUCAAGGCUGUUGCAUCAAGGCUGUUGCUGGUUAAAGGGGGACAGCAUGAGUUAUGUAAGAGGACCCCCUUCCCUCAUGGCUCUGCCCAGACCUCAGCUCUUAAGAAGCAAGAGAGACCAGGUACAGGGAGAUGGACAGUGGAGAAGAGGAGUGAAGCUGCUUCUCUGUUUCUCUGUGGUCAGUUCUGACUGGGAGAAGGGGAAAACCUUUAUAUUUCAUGGGCAGGACUUCCUCUGUCCUUAAAGGUAAGUCUAAAUGGUCCAGAUGAGGCUCUUCUUGUAACUGACAGUACUGAGUAACCCUGGGAGUUGUUGUCCUAAGAUGCUGCCAGGGUGGGGGCAGGAAGGGAGAGAACACACAAUUCUAUUGAAGGGCAUCUGCCCCUGGGCCCCCACAGGGACCAGCAAACUGAUUCCAGAGAUAUGGGAGCACCAGGAAGGGCAAUUCAGGAAGGCAGAGGGGCCAAGUGGAUGCCAUGGGUGGAGUGGGCGUGGAGUGUUGGGGGUCUCGGUGACUCGGACUGUGGAAGGCCUGAGAUAGGACUUCAACAUCUUUGAGAGGAUCGACAGCAGAAGAGGUUAAAGCAAAUAAAAAAGGGGACCAUCCCAUUUCCCAAGUACGUUUCCUGGGAAGGGCUCCUUCUCCACAAUACCAUCUCUUCUUCUUUCCUGAGCGUCUCCAGCAGUUGGUUCCUUGUUGCCACGUAGGUCAGAGAGUCUAUCUUCUCCUAAUAUUCUCAUUUACCUGUUUGGAAACUGAGGGGGGUUCCCGGGAGGAGGGAUACCCCACGCCUUUCCCCCCACUUCCCACAGGGGCAGGAAAGACCCACUGAACCUGCACUUAUGUUACCCAAGUCAACUUGGCCCAGAGAUGGAAGUUUAAUUUCUUGUUUACAAGACAAAUGAGGAACAAAGAGGAGAGAGGCAGCGUUUUCUUGUUGGUAGGGCGUUGGGAGAGGUGACCCACCACAGUUCUCUGGAGAGUGGAUUUCCAGAGGGUUUUAAUUAUGAUCGCUGAGCUGCAGUUUGGAGAGACACAGCUGCUGAAAGGCAGCUGUCUUAUUUAUACUGCCGUCUGGCUGGAUUACAUUGCCUCUACAGCAGUGAAAAUUUUAGUCCACACUCUUGGAGGGGGGUGGUGAGAAAUACCUUGUUUUUAUAAAUCAAAUUUAUUCUGACUGUGAGCUUUAACUCUCUAGAGGGUGAGAAAUUAGAUCUCUAUCCUGUUUGGAAGGUUUGCCCCAUUUCCACUCAGGCAAACAAGGAUCAGGGCAGUGGGGAUGGCAGAAAGCCCUCUGGUCUACAGCCCGUCAUUGUGAUGGCUGUGGUUCUCACUGCUCAAAUUUACAAGGUUUAUUGGAAGGUGGGUGGCUACACUACUUCCCUGUCAAGCAGUGGCAUGCUGUCUUUGGCUACUGUUCCCAC
Long non-coding RNA from Acinonyx jubatus (cheetah), 4739 nucleotides. RefSeq lists it as uncharacterized. The transcript has 4 exons. Lineage: Eukaryota; Metazoa; Chordata; Mammalia; Carnivora; Felidae. The record is from RefSeq and is a predicted model, not a curated record.